Molecule: ribosomal RNA, 460 nt
Filed under: uncultured bacterium
Lineage: Bacteria
Description: partial 16S ribosomal RNA
Rfam family: Bacterial small subunit ribosomal RNA
Source: RNAcentral
CCUACGGGAGACAGCAGUGAGGAAUAUUGGUCAAUGGACGAGAGUCUGAACCAGCCAAGUAGCGUGAAGGAUGACUGCCCUAUGGGUUGUAAACUUCUUUUAUAUGGGAAUAAAAUGUUCCACGUGUGGGAGUUUGUGUGUACCAUAUGAAUAAGGAUCGGCUAACUCCGUGCCAGCAGCCGCGGUAAUACGGAGGAUCCGAGCGUUAUCCGGAUUUAUUGGGUUUAAAGGGAGCGUAGGUGGAUGGUUAAGUCAGUUGUGAAAGUUUGCGGCUCAACCGUAAAAUUGCAGUUGAAACUGGCAGUCUUGAGUACAGGAGAGGUGAGCGGAAUUCGGGGUGUAGCGGUGAAAUGCUUAGAUAUCACGAAGAACUCCGAUUGCGAAGGCAGCUCACUGGACUGCAACUGACACUGAGGCUCGAAAGUGUGGGUAUCAAACAGGAUUAGAUACCCCUGUAGUC